This 72-nucleotide transfer RNA is filed under the name Trachipleistophora hominis. RNAcentral's name for it is "tRNA-Tyr (GTA) (tRNA-Tyr-GTA-1-1)". It matches the Rfam family "tRNA". Rfam says of the family: Transfer RNA (tRNA) molecules are approximately 80 nucleotides in length. Their secondary structure includes four short double-helical elements and three loops (D, anti-codon, and T loops). Further hydrogen bonds mediate the characteristic L-shaped molecular structure. tRNAs have two regions of fundamental functional importance: the anti-codon, which is responsible for specific mRNA codon recognition, and the 3' end, to which the tRNAs corresponding amino acid is attached (by aminoacyl-tRNA synthetases). tRNAs cope with the degeneracy of the genetic code in two manners: having more than one tRNA (with a specific anti-codon) for a particular amino acid; and 'wobble' base-pairing, i.e. permitting non-standard base-pairing at the 3rd anti-codon position. The record is from RNAcentral. Lineage: Eukaryota; Fungi; Microsporidia; Pleistophoridae. RNAcentral also lists the same sequence under 1 other name.
CCGGCGGUAGCUCAGUGGUAGAGCAUGCGACUGUAGAUCGCAUUGUCGGUGGUUCGAUUCCGCCCCGCGGGA